GCACGAUUAGCUAGUUGGUAGGGUAACGGCCUACCAAGGCUUUGAUCGUUAGCUGGUCUGAGAGGAUGGCCAGCCACACUGGAACUGAGACACGGUCCAGACUCCUGCGGGAGGCAGCAGUGGGGAAUCUUGCACAAUGGGCGAAAGCCUGAUGCAGCGACGCCGCGUGGGGGAUGAAGCAUCUCGGUGUGUAAACCCCUUUCGACCCGGACGAAUGCCUCGCAAGAGGAGUGACGGUACGGGUAUAAGAAGCCCCGGCUAACUACGUGCCAGCAGCCGCGGUAAGACGUAGGGGGCCAGCGUUGUUCGGAAUUACUGGGUGUAAAGGGUUCGUAGGCGGUGUGGCAAGUUGGGAGUGAAAUCUCUGGGCUUAACUCAGAGACUGCUUCCAAAACUGCUGUGCUCGAGUGUGGGAGAGGCGCGUGGAAUUGCAGGUGUAGCGGUGAAAUGCGUAGAUAUCUGCAGGAACACCCGUGGCGAAAGCGGCGCGCUGGACCACUACUGACGCUGAGGAACGAAAGCUAGGGGAGCA
RNAcentral lists this ribosomal RNA (532 nucleotides) under uncultured bacterium. RNAcentral describes it as "bacterial SSU rRNA". It matches the Rfam family "Bacterial small subunit ribosomal RNA", at positions 235 to 770 of the family's 1533-position model. The record is from RNAcentral.